AGAUUGAACGCUGGCGGCGUGCUUAACACAUGCAAGUCGAGCGGUAACAGGCGUAGCAAUACGUGCUGACGAGCGGCGAACGGGUGCGUAAUACAUGGGAAUCUGCCUUUUAGUGGGGAAUAACCCGGCGAAAGCCGGGCUAAUGCCGCAUAAGAUCUUCGGAUGAAAGCGGGGGAUCGUAAGACCUCGCGCUGAUAGAUGAGCCCAUGCCGGAUUAGCUAGUUGGUGAGGUAACGGCUCACCAAGGCGACGAUCCGUAGCUGGUCUGAGGAGGACGGCCAGCCACACUGGGACUGAGACACGGCCCAGACUCCGUACGGGGGCAGCAGGUGGGAAUA
This 338-nucleotide ribosomal RNA is filed under the name uncultured soil bacterium. Its description in RNAcentral is "bacterial SSU rRNA". It matches the Rfam family "Bacterial small subunit ribosomal RNA", at positions 26 to 363 of the family's 1533-position model. The record is from RNAcentral.